UAGUUGAACUAGCGGACAGAGGAAAAAAAAUUCGGACAUAUUUGCCCUCAAGUUCCAUUAACGCCUAAAUAUUAGAUCUGAUUUCUCUACAGUUUCAGACCAUCCGCCGAAUAUCAAUUCCUGCAAAGGGAUGGAUGUUUCAGACCAUCCGCUAGAGAUUUCAAAAAGUUCAAAACCCAAAUAUUAGAUCUGAUUUCCCUAGAUUGAACGAGCGGAAGAAGAACUUGAAGAACUUGAGUUCUCUACGACUUGAAUUAUUUUCUAUUCUCUAUUCUCUAUUCUCUGUUUUUCAUUCUCUGUUCACGAAUUCUUAUUUCGCUAGUUUAACAAGCGGAUAGAUAUAUAAUAGUCAAUUUGGGGACGUAUUGCUGCUGCUUAAUUGGAUAUUUGAGAUUGCUGAAUAUUUGGGAUUGCCUUGAAUUUCUGCUUAAUUAGAUCUAUUAUUAAUUUGUUGGUGCUUAAUUGGAUAUUUGGGAUGGAUUGCGGAAUAUUUGGUGAGGUGAUAUAGAUCUAAUAUUUGUUGCCGCUUAAUUGGAUAUUUGGGAUUGUUGCUGCUUAAUUGGAUCAACAGAUCUGAUAUUAGAGUGCCGCCUUGGAUCUCUGCUUAAUUAGAUCUACUAUUUGCUGCUGCUAAAUUGAAUAUUUGGGAUUGCUGCUUAAUUGGAUCAACAGAUUUGAUAUCAGAGUGCCGCUAGUUCAACUAGCAGAUGGAGUUAAAUCCGGGACUUGGGUGCAAAUAUGUCCGAAUUUUUUUUUCUCUGUGUCCGCUAGUUCAACUAGCGGACGAAGAAAUUUUAUUUUAAAUUUCAGCCCUUAAUUUAUGUAAUGUGUGCUGGAAAUGUUAUUUGUUCAUUUUUUAUCCAUAACAAAUACAUGCUAUGGAUCAUUUUUCUAUAUAUAUAUAUAUAUGAAUAAUUUGGUUCACAAGUAAAAUUUAUCCUACAAACACGACCUAAAGGGAAUUUUUAUUCAACGCCAUGCCUAAAUCUUCAUGAGUUUUUAGUAUAUAUAUCUAGGUGCAAGACUGUAAAUCUUUCACUUUUCUAGUCAAAAAAUAGAAGAAAGUAAAGCUACCCUUUGUGAAAUUUUAUUUAAUAUAUAUAUUUCCU
RNAcentral lists this long non-coding RNA (1109 nucleotides) under Panax ginseng (ginseng). RNAcentral describes it as "long non-coding RNA (PGIN_LNC010763)". The record is from RNAcentral. Lineage: Eukaryota; Viridiplantae; Streptophyta; Magnoliopsida; Apiales; Araliaceae.